UACGUAGGGUGCAAGCGUUAAUCGGAAUUACUGGGCGUAAAGCGUGCGCAGGCGGCUUUGCAAGACAGAUGUGAAAUCCCCGGGCUUAACCUGGGAACUGCAUUUGUGACUGCAUGGCUCGAGUACGGGUAGAGGGGGAUGGAAUUCCGCGUGUAGCAGUGAAAUGCGUAGAUAUGCGGAGGAACACCGAUGGCGAAGGCAGUCCCCUGGACCUGUACUGACGCCCAUGCACGAAAGCGUGGGGAGCAAACAGG
Molecule: ribosomal RNA, 254 nt
Filed under: uncultured bacterium
Lineage: Bacteria
Description: partial 16S ribosomal RNA
Rfam family: Bacterial small subunit ribosomal RNA
Source: RNAcentral